GAGGCUUGUUAAAUGCACGAGGACUGGUGGUUCCACGGCGUAAGGUCCGUGAGAUGAUGGCUCGAAUCAACCCAAUGGCGACUGCAAGGAGGUGGAGCAGCGCAGUGACUCGACGUGUCUAUCAUGUGCCGUAUCCCAACAGUUUAUGGCAUAUUGAUGGCAACAUGCGUCUCAUAAGGUGGGGCUUUGUGGUCCAUGGUGGCAUCGAUGGAUGUUCUCGCUUAAUUACUUACUUGAACUGUAGCACAGACAAUCGCGCCUCAACAGUGCUAUUUCAUUUUCUCAAGGCAACAGGCCUCUAUGGCUUACCUUCUAGAGUGAGGUCAGAUCAUGGUGGUGAGAAUGUGCAAGUGGCACUGGUGAUGAACCUCCUACAGGGCAUUGAACGUCGGAGUCAUAUCACUGGGGAAUCCAUCYAUAAUCAGAGAAUAGAGCGUCUUUGGAGGGAUGUGUUUUUACAUGUUCUUGAACCAUUUUACAGCAUGUUUUAUAAUYUUGAAGAUUCAGCCCUCUUGGAUCCCAGCGACGAUGUGCACAAACUUUCUCUUCACAUAGUUUUUCUUCCUGAGAUUCAAAGCCGACUAGAACAAUUCAGGAAAGCAUGGAACCACCAUUCCUUGCUUACAGAAAACAACAAAACACCAACACAAAUCUGGACUGAACGGAUGUUGGCAAACAUGAGUGCCAACAGYACAGCAACUAACAACGUGUUUGGUGAAAAUUCCAACGUACCAGAGACUCUUGAAGAACUUCUGCAGCAGCAUGGCCUUUGGCCCCCACCAACCACUGAUGCUGAGCAGGUCCCUAGUGUAAUUGUAGAACCACCUCAAACCAGGCUCAGUCAGCAGCAACUUCAAUCAGUUAAUCAUGCAGUUAAUCAUAUUUCUGAUCUGAAGGCAAAAUACCAGGCCUGUUGUGCAGAAAUUGCAAAUGCUUUAUUGAUUUAAAUACGUCACUAUGUUUGAGAAGGAGUGACAAACAUCAAGAACAUUUGAUCAAAUACAUUGUUCUUAAGAUACAAAUAAAACUUGGAAUUAACAURAGUAGGUAACCUUACAGAUGUAAUUAUAAAAUGUUAAGGUGUUUAAAGACAUGACAAAUUAAAUAUGCAUUCUGCAGGAAAAAUAAAAAUUCUACUUUUGAAAA
This is a non-coding RNA of Poecilia reticulata (guppy), 1146 nucleotides long. The record is from RefSeq and is a predicted model, not a curated record. Lineage: Eukaryota; Metazoa; Chordata; Actinopteri; Cyprinodontiformes; Poeciliidae.